GGUGAAUUAAACAUGCUUGGUGUCUUCGCUUCGGCAAGGCCCUUGCUUAAAUCACAUCCUAACACCUGUGAACUGUAAGACGUAUGAUGAGGUCUUUGCCAAGUCAUCGUCUGCCCAUUUUUAACAAACAAUUAAUGUAACAAACGUAGUCUUAUUAUAACCUAAUA
Molecule: unclassified non-coding RNA, 167 nt
Filed under: soil metagenome
Description: partial internal transcribed spacer 1
Source: RNAcentral